Molecule: long non-coding RNA, 779 nt
Organism: Corvus hawaiiensis (hawaiian crow)
Lineage: Eukaryota; Metazoa; Chordata; Aves; Passeriformes; Corvidae
Exons: 4
Source: RefSeq, a predicted model, not a curated record
UUCUUCCCAAAACAAAAAGCCCUGAAAGUCCCCCAAGGCACUCAGACCUCUCGUUCCUGCAAGGCAGCCUGACAGUCAGUAUAGGAUGGAAUAGGAUGGAAUUACACAAAGUUGAGAAUGAGGAGUUUGCAAGAAGCCUUUUGCUGCUAACAGCAAAUAUCAAUUGAUUCACAAGAACUGAAUGUUUUGGAACAAGAAAGCCUGAAUCCUUAUAUUCCCCUGAGCCACAACAGUGAGCUGCACCACCUCAUGCCUCAUAGCCCAUGAGGUUAUGGAGGGUUGAAGGACUCUCUUGGAAAUGCAAGGACCCUUCAGGAAACAGCAGAGGAGCCAGAUAUCAGAACAAAAACCACAGUUUGGAGUACAACACUACUUUUCACUCGUGGAUGGUCUUUAUACAGGCCAUGGACCCCCAUGCAUGUAUGAAAAAGCAGCAUGUCCAUCUGUGUUAAUGUGUGACGAGGUUAUAAAUUCAGCACUGCCAGUGACAGAAAGAUUGCUGGAAUUUCUUACCUGCACAAGGGCAUAUCUGCAUUUUGUUUUCUGGGCUGAACUAAGGAGAUGGCUGCCAAUAAGGAAGAUUACAUGUUGCCUUGAAUUUUCCCAGAAUAUGUCUCCUUGGAUCCAGCACUAUGGUUCAGCCUUUUGUACACAUGGAGAGGGCAGCUGGAACAUCUCAGAUACAGAUGUGAACCUCCCCAGAGUUAAUUAUUCGCGUUAUUGUUUGCAUCUUCAAUUUGAGUUACCCAGCUUGUAUUAAAAGUCCUACAUACCAUGCA